Molecule: ribosomal RNA, 644 nt
Filed under: uncultured fungus
Lineage: Eukaryota; Fungi
Description: bacterial SSU rRNA
Rfam family: Eukaryotic small subunit ribosomal RNA
Source: RNAcentral
UCAUUGCCCUUCGGGGCUCUUGGUGAUUGAUAAAAAACCAAUGCCCUUCGGGGCUUUUGGUGAUUCAUAAUAACUUAACGAAUCGCAUGGCCUUGCUCCGGCGAUGGGUCAUUCAAAUUUCUGCCCUAUCAACUUUCGAUGGUAGGAUAGUGGCCUACCAUGGUGGCAACGGGUAACGGGGAAUUAGGGUUCGAUUCCGGAGAGGGAGCCUGAGAAACGGCUACCACAUCCAAGGAAGGCAGCAGGCGCGCAAAUUACCCAAUCCCGACACGGGGAGGUAGUGACAAUAAAUACUGAUACGGGGCUCUUUUGGGUCUCGUAAUUGGAAUGAGUACAAUCUAAAUCCCUUAACGAGGAACAAUUGGAGGGCAAGUCUGGUGCCAGCAGCCGCGGUAAUUCCAGCUCCAAUAGCGUAUAUUAAAGUUGUUGCAGUUAAAAAGCUCGUAGUUGAACCUUGGGUCUGGCUGGCCGGUCCGCCUCACCGCGAGUACUGGUCCGGCUGGACCUUUCCUUCUGGGGAACCUCAUGGCCUUCACUGGCUGUGGGGGGAACAGGGACUUUUACAAAGUUCAUGCCUACCCUUCACCGGUCAGGACCCCAUCUUCUUUAAAAGCUCACCCCUUUUAAAAUAAAAAAAAAACUAC